AGCUGGCUUCGUGCUAAGGCAGGACCAGAACUCAUGGUCUCCUAGUUUCUAGCCUUAACCGCUACACCAAACUGUUUCUUUCAAGUGGAGUAGGAACCUUAUUUUCUGUGAAUAAGCCAAAACUUCUCAGAACCUCUGCCUGGUGAAGCUGCUUUAGGCAGAUGCAACAUCUGAAAUGAGUCUGGAAUCAGGCUCCAGGCUUUGUGGACAGCUGACAUAGGCAAGUAAAGCAGGGGAAAAUAUGAAUAUUUUAGCUCUUAUUGUAUUGAAAAUAUUGGGACUGAAAUACUAGUGAAAUAUUUGAGCUAUUGAUGCUUUGUUGAGAUAAUCUGAUGUGCAUAGCUGUGGUUUAUUAGUGAAAAUUUCACCCAAAUGUUUAUAUGCCUGUUUAGCUUAGUAGAUGUCUGGAUGCAAAAUUUCAUUAAUCCUGCUGAAAGCAGAAGAGCAGUCAGUGAGUUUAUGAAUGCACCUGUUGCCUCUUUAGUUUAAAAAUGAUUUUAUUGAUCCAACAGCAUACCACAUGAACAGUAUUUUUUUAAAAAGGGAGAGAGUUCAAACUAUUUCUCUUUAUGUCUUCAGUACUCUGAGUAAAGCAACUAGAACCAUAUUUCUAACCCUUUAUCAUCAAGAAGUACCAUUCAGCUCAAGAGAAUCCUGUAUGGAAUUUUUUUUUCUGUGUUCAAUUCCCAAACCACUGCAUUUCUCAAGGUUUUCAAUGUCACUUUACUGGCACUGUAUUAUUUUGUGAUAUCAAGGUGAUGAGAAAGGUCAAUCCUAUUUGAAAUUUUAGGGGUCCAUGGCAUUGCAAAUUUGAGAAACCUCAUCUUGCUGACAUGAUUGUGAUCCUCUGUGGUUUUUAUCUUAAUAUAGCUUUUAAAAAUGUUUUGGUAUAUUCUGAUUAUUAACUAUAUUUCUCAUUUUAAAGGGUUAAUAUAGUAAAUUAUUGAGACCAGUUAUUGCAUAGUGCAAAUGAUGCCCCUACUUAAUAUACAUGGAGGAAAAAAACUAAAGAAAGAAACCAGAAGAAUAUGAGGGAGAACCUUUAGUGAGGGGAGAGUAGUUGAAUAGACUGUUAGAAAGUAGUGGAAAGAAGUGGAAUGAGUUCAGAUCUUAUUCAGUAUCAAAAAAUUCACACUAUGCAGACAAUGAUGCAUAGAAAUCUGUGGAAUAUGAGAAAAGCAUUAGUAAAGCAGAUCUACCUUUAAAUGAAGCAACAAAGGACAGAAACCAGAAUCUAUAAAACAUGGGAACAUUCCUCAGAAAUGCAUGGAAUUUGUUUGGAAUUUUCAUAAUUAUGUAAUUUUACAUAUACAGAGAGAAGCCAUGCAGCAAUCAUUUUGUUUUACAUCAGAGCACUGAAACAGGAACCAGAGGACUGAAAUGUUUGCAACUUUCUACAACCUGAAGGUACAUUUGGCCUUUAAGUGGUACCCAAGGAUUUACUUAGUCUCUCAUUUCUUUUUUCUACAUUUACAGUUUCCUUCAGGAGCACCAGGUGGGGACACCCUCUUUCCUCCUCUUCUUCUAACAGUGACAGUCCCACAAGGAGGCCUGGGCUGAAAGAAGAACCAGUCCAAAGGCACCUAGGGAGUCCCACAGCUGAGGGGAGGCCGAAACCACUGUGUUUCAUUAGCAUGGACUUUCCCAAAGGGAUAAAUGGCCUUUGGUUAUUCCAGUCCUAAAUGCUUUAUGUCCCUAAGAAGAGUAGAAUUCAGAGGGGAAGUAGAGUACAAAGUUAUUUGCACCAUGAAAGAAGCCAUUCAUGGACAGGGAGGAUGCAUCCAGCCCAUUUUGGAAGCUCAAAAAGGGUCUUAACCUUACAUUUGCAUUCUUAAAUGUCUUUGUAUGGUGAGGAAAAUAAGUUUGAAUGAGUUUUCAGAUGAAUGGGAGUGCUUAAAUCAAUUGAAACAUAAGAAAUUUACAACAGCCUUGGAGCUGGCUUAUCACCUAGUUCACACCAGCUUGUUGUAAAUCUUAGAACAUUUCCAUGGCAACCCAUGAAUCUAUCAUGGCAUUUGCCCCCUCCUUUUGACCUGUUUCUUCUAAGACAAUUGGUUUCUUCAAAGAUAGCAGAAGGGCAGGAAGUAACCUGAGACCUAUUACUUAUGCAUUCCUGCAUCAUCUUUCCUUUUUUCCUGAAAUGUAUAAAUAUCAGUGCAUCUCUUUUGUUCGCAGGGGUAUCACUCACUAUCCUUUGGUGGGGUCCCCUCCAGUACGUACUGUCUAAUAAACACUGCAGUCAGCCUUGAUUAUUUGCUUUGGGUCCUGCGUUUUGAUUCCACAGUAGUUUUCUAAUGUUACUAAUGGAAGGUGUUUGCUUCUUAAUGUAAAUUCUUCUGCUGCCCAUACCAGAGGAUGUAUUUGAGGCAGUUCUUCCAUUAUCCCUUUCUGUCCACACCACUGGAUAUUAUGGUCCGCAAAGUUGAGGACACACAAUAGACUCCUGUUCUCCUGUGCUAUUCCCUUGUAUCCCCUUCUUUGCUUCUCCUGAUGCAUCAUAUCCAGGGACCCUCCUUGGAGGCUGUCAGAAGCCACCUUGAGGAAAGGAAGAAUCCUUCAAACUCCUCUCAAGAGCUACUUUUCAGAGGGAUCUCCCAGGAAGAUCAAAGUUGGGACAGCUCACCAGGGAAUGGAACAAUACAGUUGAUUUCUACAGGAUCAUCUGCUUUUUCUAGUGGAGCUGAAAGAGUGGUUGAACCUCCAACUCAGGUAGGAGAAGAAACAUCAGAAAAGAUGCUGGGUGCCAUUUCGAUGAAGCCUGUUUUGCUCUGGUGUUCAGUGUAGAAUAUAAUAGUGCUGUUUCUAAGUAACAUGGAAUGGGGAAUCUAGGGUUCAAGUCACUGAGCAGUCACGCUUAGCUUCAGCCUACCUCUCAAGGCUCUUGUGGAGAAACACCUAGAUUAAAUAUCUAUGUUGAGACAAACUUAUGAGAAGUAAUUCACACUUCAGUAUCUUCUCUUGUGAGAUCGUUUAUAACAAAAUAGGAUAGCAUUGAUAAAGGUUUCUUAGCAGCAUUAUGAAAGUGGCUUAUCUUUGCUUAUUUUGGUAAGGUUUUUGUAUUUCCCACUAGCCAACAUUCAUGGGAUUUCAAACACCAUACAUGUUUUUAACAUUACUACCGGUUGUAGGUCUGAAGCCACUCAGUCAUAUGUUAACUAACAAACAAAUGAAAUGCCAUACUAAGCCGGACUGACCCUAGUUAGCUUCUGAGUGUUAGGAACCAAGAUUCAGAAUCUGACUCUGAACCUGACUCUGAUGAUGUUGCUCCAGUUGAGCCUAUGGAUUGUCAGCUUCAGGCUGUCAGCCUCAGGAAUCAUUAAGCCAGGAUUCAUUUGAGGCUGAUCAGCCACAGGCAUCUCCUGUUAAGCUGGAGCAGUCAGAUGAUGAGGCACAACCCCCAAGCCCCAGGUCUAGAUGCAUGCUGCAGUGAACAGAGCAAUGCUCUUCAGUGAGAUUCCUUGCCAGGCAAAGGAUGAGACAUGAGUAAUUGCAGCCAGCUGUGUAGCUGCUUUGCUUUCAGUCUUUGUUGGAAACAACUGUUCAGUAUCCCAGUUUGUGACUCUUAUUCCUGCUUCUUGUUUGUGAAAUCUUCACUCUUGGACCAGAUGAGAACCUGAUUUGGCAUUCUGUGACUCUUGGAAUGUAUUUGGACUACUCUCUUGCUUCUUGGAGUGUAAUUGGCAUUUUUCAGGCAAGCGCUCUCUGCUAGCUAUUUGGAUUACAACCCUAUUAUCUGCAUAAACUGUAGUAAAUAUUUUCUCUCCUUAAUAACUCUGUCUGCAUGUGUGUACCUGCAACCUUGAAACAGAACACUGAGAGAGUUUCCACCUGCUGACACUUAAAUUACAUUAACAGUGAUGCUAAGAAAAAGGUCAAGAAAAAGGGAAAAGUAACAGACACUUAAUCAGAAUUAAAAGGAGUAGCCCUUUCUUUUACUUCAAACUUUUGGAGUUCAUCUUUCCAAAUACUUUUGUGUUAUGCUGGACUGCUCAAAACUAGCUAAAUAACCAAAUUAAUUACCAUUUAAAAAAAACAACAUUCAAAAUCAGGUAAUUGAAAGAAGAGCAUUUCAGAGAUAAAAUAGUGUUUCCAGGUAAAAAUCCUUAAAAUUCCAAGCACAACAAAUGGAUUUUAACUAGGCUAUAGAAAAGAUUGUAAUGAAAUGACACUUAAAAAGGACUCUAAAUACAAGUGCCCAAAGUGCUUGUAAUCAAACCACUUCGGUGUUUUGUAUUUUCUAACCACCUGUUUUGUAUCUAGAUUUGGAUGCGAACAAAUGCAGCGUUGGCUUAAUAAGCAUAAUUUCCUUCUCAGCUUCCUUCCUUAGCUCCCAUUGAGUCAGUGGCUCAGACCACAAAGAGCUUCUGUAGAAGCUGCACAUGGAUGGCACGACACAGAUGCCUGCAUGGGCUCUCCUGGCACUUCAUGAAAGGUGUUGAAUUGAUCGACCCCUGUGGGGACACCACAGUUCAUUGGCUAAAAUGUCAGGCAUCAGAAAGGGCCUGAGCAAUUGAUUGAUGGUAUGUCCUAAACCCAUCUUCCCAUUGAUCCUGAAGGAUGCUGG
Non-coding RNA from Python bivittatus (Burmese python), 4564 nucleotides. Lineage: Eukaryota; Metazoa; Chordata; Lepidosauria; Squamata; Pythonidae. The record is from RefSeq and is a predicted model, not a curated record.